This 510-nucleotide ribosomal RNA is filed under the name uncultured bacterium. Its description in RNAcentral is "partial 16S ribosomal RNA". It matches the Rfam family "Bacterial small subunit ribosomal RNA", at positions 28 to 507 of the family's 1533-position model. The record is from RNAcentral.
GACGAACGCUGGCGGCGUGCUUAACACAUGCAAGUCGAACGAAGAGCGAUGGAAGCUUGCUUCUAUCACUCUUAGUGGCGCACGGGUGAGUAACGCGUAAUCAACCUGCCCUUCAGAGGGGGACAACAGUUGGAAACGACUGCUAAUACCGCAUACGAUCUGACCUCGGCAUCGAGGAUAGAUGAAAGGUGGCCUCUACAUGUAAGCUAUCACUGAAGGAGGGGAUUGCGUCUGAUUAGCUAGUUGGAGGGGUAACGGCCCACCAAGGCGAUGAUCAGUAGCCGGUCUGAGAGGAUGAACGGCCACAUUGGGACUGAGACACGGCCCAGACUCCUACGGGAGGCAGCAGUGGGGAAUCUUCCGCAAUGGACGAAAGUCUGACGGAGCAACGCCGCGUGAGUGAUGACGGCCUUCGGGUUGUAAAGCUCUGUUAAUCGGGACGAAAGGCCUUUUUGCGAAUAGUGAGAAGGAUUGACGGUACCGGAAUAGAAAGCCACGGCUAACUACGUG